RNAcentral lists this ribosomal RNA (437 nucleotides) under uncultured bacterium. Its description in RNAcentral is "bacterial SSU rRNA". It matches the Rfam family "Bacterial small subunit ribosomal RNA", at positions 28 to 507 of the family's 1533-position model. The record is from RNAcentral.
GAUGAACGCUGGCGGUAUGCUUAAUACAUGCAAGUCGUACGAAGGCUUUUAGCCUUAGUGGCGGACGGGUGAGUAACACGUGAGAAUCUGCCCUUAGGAGGAGGAUAACAGCUGGAAACGGUUGCUAAUACUCCAUAUGCCGAGAGGUGAAAGGAUUUAUCUACCUAAGGAGGAGCUCGCGUCUGAUUAGCUAGUUGGUAAGGUAAUGGCUUACCAAGGCGACGAUCAGUAGCUGGUUUGAGAGGAUGAUCAGCCACACUGGGACUGAGACACGGCCCAGACUCCUACGGGAGGCAGCAGUAGGGAAUUUUCCGCAAUGGGCGAAAGCCUGACGGAGCAAUACCGCGUGAGGGAUGACGGCCUGUGGGUUGUAAACCUCUUUUCUCAAGGAAGAAGUUCUGACGGUACUUGAGGAAUAAGCAUCGGCUAACUCUGUG